AGUGAACGCUGGCGGUAGGCCUAACACAUGCAAGUCGAACGGCAGCACAGUAAGAGCUUGCUCUUACGGGUGGCGAGUGGCGGACGGGUGAGGAAUACAUCGGAAUCUACUUUUUCGUGGGGGAUAACGUAGGGAAACUUACGCUAAUACCGCAUACGACCUACGGGUGAAAGCAGGGGAUCUUCGGACCUUGCGCGAGUGAAUGAGCCGAUGUCGGAUUAGCUAGUUGGCGGGGUAAAGGCCCACCAAGGCGAUGACCCGUAGCUGGUCUGAGAGGAUGGCCGGGCACAUUGGGACUGAGAGAGGGCCCAGACUGCUACGGGAGGCAGCGGUGGGGAAUUUUGCACAAUGGGAGGAAGCGUGAUGCAGCAACGCCGCGUGCGGGAUGACGGCCUUCGGGUUGUAAACCGCUUUCGCCUGUGACGAAGCGUGAGGGACGGUAAUGGGUAAAGAAGCACCGGCUAACUACGUG
This 472-nucleotide ribosomal RNA is filed under the name uncultured bacterium. RNAcentral describes it as "partial 16S ribosomal RNA". It matches the Rfam family "Bacterial small subunit ribosomal RNA", at positions 30 to 507 of the family's 1533-position model. The record is from RNAcentral.